UAUGCGCAUGCUCUGAGGACGGUAGAAUGCGCAUGCUCUGAGGACGGUAGAAUGCGCAUGCUCUGAGGACGGUAGAAUGCGCAUGCUCUGAGGACGGUAGAAUGCAUAUUGAGAUAAACCCUCAGUCUCAACCCAUGCGGUGUACAUGGGCUAAUCACACGCCAAUGUUUACAUUUGUUGUAAUGUUUUGUUAAUUUGCAGCCCCGCUAUUUUGCUUUUAAUUUUUCCGCUCAUUCUUUGAAGUUCAAAGAGAAAGAUGGACUCUUUGAUGGGAUUACCUGUGUAUUUUUCACUUGUAAUCCAGGUACGUCCUUAGAGAACUAGCCUUAUGUGUAGUCCUCCCUGUCUUUAGCUGACAGAGGUAUCCAGCACCUGAAACGCUGGAAGCAAACAUUUAGUAGUGCAGAACAGGCGUUUCAACUUCUUGAACGCAGACAUCAGACUCGGGCCCAGACGUUUAGGGAAGGAACGCUCAUCAAGGAGCCAGCAUGCUAAUGAGAUUUGGUGGUAAUUAAAAACAGCAUCUCAUUCGAACAUGUAAUAGGCUAU
Non-coding RNA from Oncorhynchus mykiss (rainbow trout), 549 nucleotides. The record is from RefSeq and is a predicted model, not a curated record. NCBI's taxonomy places the organism in Eukaryota, Metazoa, Chordata, Actinopteri, Salmoniformes, Salmonidae.